This 3121-nucleotide long non-coding RNA is filed under the name Triticum aestivum (bread wheat). RNAcentral describes it as "long non-coding RNA (TAES_LNC001122)". The record is from RNAcentral. Lineage: Eukaryota; Viridiplantae; Streptophyta; Magnoliopsida; Poales; Poaceae.
CCCUGCUAAUUUGCGGCUUUCUGUGCCAGAUACAUCAUAGUUAAUAAAAAAACUUCUGCUGUAAUGGAGGUACUCAUCUUUAGUAGUGUGCUUAAUUUGAUUCAUCACCUCAAGUGUUUUACACAAAAUUUGAACUAUGUGUAUCUACUGGUGAGUCCUUGGGCCUCGCUCUAUUUCAGUUUUCAAGAUGGAAGAAUGUCUUAAAGUUUCAACUACUAUUUACUAAUUGUAGGCUCCUUAGAAGAUUCCACCUAAUCUUUAGAAACAGAAAAUUAUAAGUAUAUUGUCCGCUAGAUGCAAGCAUGAGUAGCUCAAAACUGAAACGCUGCCAUCUCGGACCUCCUCCAUGGUUUGCCAGGCUACCAAGAUCAAUAAUGUAGCGACAUGAGGAGGGAAUUUGAUCAAGACAUAAGUAGGUAAAUACCCCUAGCUAUUUUCUUUAUAUAUUUUGCCCUUCUCUCACUGUAUUCUAUUUUGCCUUUUAGUGAUUGUAAAAUUAAAGUCUUCAAUAAACAUACAUUUACUUAUGCUUCAGAGGAUAAGCCUUCUGUAAAUACACCCACCCACGCCUAAGAUUUUAGCAAAUAAAUCUUGGCUCAAUAACUUUUGUUUUUAAUGGAAGGAACAAUUUCUUCAGUGACUAACUACAUCUUUUUCUUUGCUAGGCUGUAGACAAGAUAGGUGAUAUUAAAUGUUUCCUCACAAAUAACCUCUCUAAUUGACGAGAAUAACUGGGUAUGUAACAAUGUUAACAUUGGUAGUUUAUCGGCACAGUACUAAUGUUGCCUUAAUGCACAAUAAACUCAAAUAUCGUCCUCUCAGUAUAUGCCUCUACAAAAGGGUGCUUAAUGAAUUCAAUGGUUUGCCUCAUUUGUACAGAAAUUUGGACCAUUCUAGCUCAUUGAGAUAGUUUCUAAUUUAGUUUGUUGAUUAUAUUUUAUUACUACAGUUUUACUGGGCUGUGUCCUCAUGGAUUUCAAGUUUCGCUGGAGAUAUGUCAUCUGCCAAUGUUAGAAGAAUAGGUGCUUCCAUAGAAAAAGGUCUUUGUCUCGAUUCCUUCCCUUUGAAGGAAACUCCAAAUCGAGUCGUCGCGCCAUGCCUAGGCUUGCUAAAAGCUAACUCAUGUCUUAGAGAUUUUUAGUAGCGAAUUUAAGUGCAUGGUUACUGAUGUGGCUAUGGAAUGCACGGGUUGUACAGCAACUAAGUUUGUAGAGUGAAUUCACGUGCUCAUAAAGGAAGUGGUGAAACCCAAUAAACAAUAUCAUAUGGAUGCAUCUUAAGAGGUGCACAAUUGGCAUAUAUUUCGAUUGUGCUCCUUCAGGCCAUCUUUGAUGCUCAGAUUGUGCUUUCAUUGACAUUCACAUAUUCUUGUUGUUAUUGUGUAUGUGCAGCUACUGAUAUAGGUCUCUUAUAUGAAUGUUAGAUGUCAUUUCUAAAUUCAUGUUGUAACUAUUUCUGCCUUGCUAAGCUGAGAUCAGGGACUGCUGGUCAUUUCUGAAGAUCAGGACACAACCAGCCUCAUUUCUAAAGAUCAGGACCCAACCAGCCAUCCUAAUCUGAGUGUCGGAUAUUUGGAAGUUUGAAGAAGCCUAACAUGCAUAACAUUAGGAGCCCCCCUCUCCCAGUCGAGAUCAGGCAAGGCAGAUGGGAAGCAGCGGCGCCCCCUCUCCCUCGAGCUCUAGAUCCAUGGCACCAGCAUCGAGGUAAGUAGCAGCACCUCCUCUUCCAUCAUUUUUUCACCAUCUCCGAUUAAGGAGCUUUAGAUUUGCUCAUUUGUAUGAAAGGUUGACUCAAAUUUUGAAGGACGUCCCAUAUACUUUAGUGCUUAUCUGUUUGUCUUAAAUUCUUAUGGCCUGAUCUCUGCCCAUAGGAAUGUGACUAUUGGCUCUGUUGUCUCUUAAAACAGAAAAUGGAUAAUGCAAAUUUGGUGACUAAACUUGGUGACAAGCUCCCCGUCUCUCUUCUCUGCAUGUAUCCCCAUCUCUGUUCUUAGGAGACAUGCUGAAGAGUGUCUUCCUCUCGUUGCUUUGCAGGUCAUAUCUCAGAAUACAUCAUGUCAAGAACUGGUAGCCAAAGAUCUCCAUGGAACUGAGUGACAUUUCUUGGUGACUUUACAAUAUUCAGCUUGAAGCCCUUAAAUUUCCAGUAGUUGUGUCCUUAUUGUUUUGGUGUAGCACUUCAUGUAACAAUUGAAUGCUGAAUUCAUUACUUCAUGAGUAUGUGUGGCCUCUCUCCCUCUGUCUGAUUCUAUAUCAUGCCUUUCAGUGUUUUGUGUUUUAGAUUCCAUAAUCUCCUUGUAUUUGAGUGUCAUUUAUUUGGCUCCUUCAAUAUUUGUAGUGCAACUUCCUAAAUGUCAUGUCCAUGUGUUACCAAAGAUAGAAAAAAGAAACUGGAAUGGGCGGCUGCCAACCUAGCACCGCACAUCUUCCUCUCAGGAGGCGUCACAAGGUGGCGCCCCAACCCCUAGUAUAUAUAUCAAUGCACCAAUUCUCCUCAUCCUGAACCAACUUCAAGAGCUUAGUGGAGAUCUCAGUUUCUUUUCAGUUUAGUCAUGUUCGUAGAGGGUCCAAUGUAACUCGCCGGAAGAGCAGAUCGACCGGUGGUGGCUGCAGACACGAGUUGGGAAGAUAGAGAACUUGUCGUCGAUUCCGACGCUGGUGGCCGACUUGGGCUUGCGUGCGGGUAGGUUGCAGCCUCACGGUGCUCCGGCGGUUCUGUUCCUGCUCGGCAGCGGGGUUCUCGAGCUAGUUGGCAGCGACAAUAAAUAUCGUGUUUUUUGGACGGAUUCUGGCACUGACAAGGGAGGAGACGGUCAGUGUGUGGGUGGGCGGGGAGGAGGCGGGGCGGCGGCAUCGCAAGUCCGGUUUGGGCCAAGACGCACAAGCAAGCUAAAGUAUUUUUGAUGAGACCUGUUUUUUUUUAUGAAUGUCCGCAAAAUGAUCACAUGUACUACUUGAUACAUAUGGCGGGAGAGGCCUAAACUAGUGCACGAGGAGAAAGUUAAAGAUGCUAACUAGAUUUCUAUUUUUAUAGGGAUUCGUGUUCUAAGGACAAACUAUGUUAUUAGGAAGUUGGAGUCUCCCCUCCAAGGAUAUGUUCAACACUCAACUUACCGUUGAUG